UUUCGAGUUGCCCGAAAUGGUGAGUGAGAGCGGUGAGAGCUAAACACCCGCAGGAGUGAGCCUCAUACCCGGUUCUAAUCUGUCGGACAAAACACGACUGGUCUUCGGAGCGUCGAUCUGAACCGGCGGACUCGGUACGUGACAUCUAAACACCCGCAGACAGCCGCUGACGGUCGUUGCCGGUGGAAAUGCCCAGAUUGUCAACUCGCGGAAGCCAUUCAUCGACUCUUCCAAAGGAGUGAAUUCUCCCAACCUCCAGGCCGUGCAUCAUACCCGGUUCAAAUCUUCCGGACACAACACAAACGGGCUUCGGAGCGUCCUCCUGAAACCGGCGAACUCGGUACGUGACAGCUAAACACCUGCAGACGGACGCCAAAGAGUUUCAACCGCGAGACGGAGUAAGUUCUCCCAACCUCCAGGCCGUGCAUCAGUCCCGGUUCAAAUCUUCCGGACACAACACGAACGGGCUUCGGAGCGUCCUCCUGAAACCGGCGAACUCGGUACGUGACAGCUAAACACCUGCAGACGGACGCCAAAGAAGUAAAUUCCCCAACCUCCAUCAUCGUGCAUCAUACCCGGUUCAAAUCUGCUGGACAAAACUUGACCGGGAAGAUGAGCUCCCGGUGGGCUUCCGACUAAGCUGCAACGUCGUCGGGAUGUGGACUUCCCCCGGAAGCUGCACGCUCAUCUCCCCGAAGCAGUCCAUCGGCGCCGCAUGGUGUCGAACGA
Molecule: long non-coding RNA, 729 nt
Organism: Culex quinquefasciatus (southern house mosquito)
Lineage: Eukaryota; Metazoa; Arthropoda; Insecta; Diptera; Culicidae
Exons: 4
Source: RefSeq, a predicted model, not a curated record